GCAUAAUCAUUUGUCCAUUAAUUGUGGACUGGAAUGAAUGGGUUAAUGAAAUUUAAGCUGUCUCUAAUUAACAUUAUAAAAACUAGUCAUUAAGUGAAGAAACUUAAAUUAAAUUGAAAGACAAGAAGACCCUAUAGAGCUUUACUCUAACCUAAAAUAACUAUUUUAGCAACAGUUCGGUUGGGGCGACCAGGGAGCAUCAUCUCUAAACAAACAGAAAAUAAAUUCCAUACAAUAUGACCCUUUAAAGAUCAUAAAAUCAAGCUACCUUAGGGAUAACAGGCUAAUUUUCCUACAGAGACCUUAUUAACAGGAAAGA
RNAcentral lists this ribosomal RNA (319 nucleotides) under Lumbriculus variegatus. RNAcentral describes it as "partial 16S ribosomal RNA". It matches the Rfam family "Bacterial large subunit ribosomal RNA", at positions 1959 to 2517 of the family's 2925-position model. The record is from RNAcentral. Lineage: Eukaryota; Metazoa; Annelida; Clitellata; Lumbriculida; Lumbriculidae.